RNAcentral lists this ribosomal RNA (160 nucleotides) under Convolvulus glomeratus. Its description in RNAcentral is "5.8S ribosomal RNA". It matches the Rfam family "5.8S ribosomal RNA". From Rfam's summary of the family: 5.8S ribosomal RNA (5.8S rRNA) is a component of the large subunit of the eukaryotic ribosome. It is transcribed by RNA polymerase I as part of the 45S precursor that also contains 18S and 28S rRNA. Functionally, it is thought that 5.8S rRNA may be involved in ribosome translocation. The record is from RNAcentral. Lineage: Eukaryota; Viridiplantae; Streptophyta; Magnoliopsida; Solanales; Convolvulaceae.
AUGACUCUCGGCAACGGAUAUCUCGGCUCUCGCAUCGAUGAAGAACGUAGCGAAAUGCGAUACUUGGUGUGAAUUGCAGAAUCCCGUGAACCAUCGAGUCUUUGAACGCAAGUUGCGCCCGAAGCUAUCAAGCUGAGGGCACGUCUGCCUGGGCGUCACA